Molecule: long non-coding RNA, 1057 nt
Filed under: Mytilus galloprovincialis (Mediterranean mussel)
Lineage: Eukaryota; Metazoa; Mollusca; Bivalvia; Mytilida; Mytilidae
Source: RNAcentral
UAUUUUCAAAGGAUGGUGUAGAGUAUUAUCAAAUGAUGGUGUAGAGUAUUAUCAAAGGAUGGUGAAGUGUAUUUUCAAAGGAUGGUGUAGUGUAUUAUCAAAGGAUGAUGAAGUGUAUUUUCAAAGGAUGGUGUAGUGUGUUAUCAAAGGAUGGUGUAUAGUAUUAUCAAAGGAUGGUGAAGUGUAUUAUCAAAGGAUGAUGUAGUGUAUUAUCAAAGGAUGGUGUAGUGUAUUUUCAAAGGAUGGUGUAGUGUAUUUUCAAAGGAUAGUGUAGUGUAUUUUCAAAGGAUGGUGUAGUGUAUUUUCAAAGGAUGGUGUAGAGUAUUAUCAAAAGGAUGGUGUAAGAGUAUUAUCAAAGGAUGGUGUAGAGUAUUACCAAAGGAUGGUGUAGUGUAUUUUCAAAGGAUGGUGUAGAGUGUAUUAUCAAAGGAUGAUGUAGUGUAUUAUCAAAGGAUGGUGUAGUGUAUUUUCAAAGGAUGGUGUAGAGUAUUAUCAAAGGUUGGUGUAGAGUAUUAUCAAAGAAUGGUGAAGUGUAUUUUCAAAGGAUAGUGUAGAGUAUUAUCAAAGGAUGAUGUAGUGUAUUAUCAAAGGAUGGUGUAGUGUAUUAUCAAAGGAUGGUGUAGUGUACUUUCAAAGGUUGGUGUAGUGUAUUUUCAAAGGAUGGUGUACCGGUAGUGUAUUUUCAAAGGAUGGUGUAGAAUUUCAUAUUUUACCAGAAAAAGGCAUUGAAAAUGUACAUUUUGAAAAAAUAUAUAGAAUAGUUUCUGAACUAUUUUCACGAAAUUAAUUUAGUAGCUAACCAGAUGCUCCGCAGGGCGCAGCUUUAUACGACCGCAAAGGUUGAACCCUGAACGGUUGGGGCAAGUAUGGACACAACAUUCAAGCUGGAUUCAGCUCUAAAUUUGGAUUGUGAUUAAAUAGUUGACACAGCAUAGGUUUCGGACACAGAAUGAAUGUGGUCUAAUGAACUUAAAAUAUUUAUUUUGCCUUUGAGCAAUUCACUAUGCUGUUGAAUAUUAAUCCUCUCAAAAAAAUGUUUGAAGAAAUUUUCUUUUUA